GGGCUUGUAGCUCAGUGGACCAGAGCGUUCGGCUACGAACCGAAAAGUCGAUUGGGUUCGAAUCCCUCCAGGCCCG
This 76-nucleotide transfer RNA is filed under the name Oedocladium carolinianum. Its description in RNAcentral is "tRNA-Arg". It matches the Rfam family "tRNA". From Rfam's summary of the family: Transfer RNA (tRNA) molecules are approximately 80 nucleotides in length. Their secondary structure includes four short double-helical elements and three loops (D, anti-codon, and T loops). Lineage: Eukaryota; Viridiplantae; Chlorophyta; Chlorophyceae; Oedogoniales; Oedogoniaceae. RNAcentral also lists the same sequence under 8 other names. The record is from RNAcentral.